UUUCUAUUGAAAUUAGUUAAGUAUUUUUAUAUUUUUUGAAAUGUGAAUACCAAGUACGUCUACUUCACCAUCCACCCAUUUUAUUGGUAAACACUGUAUUUUAACGAUCCAAUACGUAAUAUGGUACACUUGUUAUAAUUAGGUUUUAGUCCAGAAAAGUAAUCAGAAUCUUGAGACUAUGCAGGGAUCCAGAUUUCUAGUAUUUCAUUGGCCUUAAUUAAUAGAUAUGGAGACAACGGACAGCCUUGUUUUACUCCUCUUAAAUGCUCAAUACUUUAUGAGAAGUAACCAUUAUUUACUAUUUUACAUCUGGGGUUGCUGUACAUAACUUUAACCCCCUCACCCCUCUCUCCUGUAUAAGAGAAUCACAUAAAUUAAAGUAAUCCACGCAUUUAAAUAUAAAUUCUAGGCGUACUUUAAUAAAAUCUGCUGGUAUCUUCGAUGUUUUAUAAUAUUCAAUUGUUUCAAGUAAUUGUUGUAUAUUAUCUCCAAUAUAUAUAUUGUCCAUGGGAGAAAAAAAAAACUGGUCUGAUCAGGAUGAACAAUAUCUGGUAAAACCUUUUUUCUAUGCUAUGCCUUUCACCAGAAUUUUGUCAUUACAGGGCUGGUUAAUAGAACUCCUAUUAUGGUCUGUCUGCCUUUUGUCUUUACCACUCCAGCUCUGGAAUGGGGAGCCCCUGUUCCUGAUGGGAAUGGAGUUCCUUUCCUGAUCCUGUUACAACCAAUCAUUAUCCAGGAGCACACAGGGCCCCCCGGCUCAUGACCUUGAAUACAUAGGCCUGUGUAGAAGGAUCAGUGUGUCGGCCCGCCAUGGCUGAAGGCCUGUGUGUCGGCCCGCCAUGGCUGAAGGAUCAGCGUGUCGGCCCGCCAUGGCUGAAGGAUCAGCGUGUCGGCCCGCCAUGGCUGAAGGCCGGCAGGAGCUUUUAAGGGGGAUUAUACUGUUUUUUGGGAUAUACUGUCCAUGGUGCCCCAAAUGUUGUAUGAAGGUGGUGGAAGGUUGGCUAGAUGAUGGAGCUGGUAUCAGGAGAGCAUUGUGGGUUUUCACCUAUGACCCAGAUGUAAAUGGUAGCUGACUGCAGUGUGUCAUGUGACUGCAGUGUGUCAUGUCAUUUAAGUCAUUUAGUGUGACUGCUGUGUAUCAUAUGACUGCUGUGUGACGUUGUGUUUCUGCGAUACAGACUGAAGAAGGCAGAGGAGUGCUUCCGACAAGCCAAGGAGAAGGCUACCUACAGUGUCAAACCCAAGCAUGCCUCGGGAAUCUUUUUUUUCACAGAAAGCCAAGCUGGGCAUGAAGAUUUAAGAUUGGUGGACGUCCAUUUUUACUGUCGAGCGAGAGAGACGAGGAACAACCAAGUUGGACUGCAUCUGUCAGUCUGUCCAUCUCCCGUCCUCCUGCCUGCUCUAUGGGACCGACUCUGCAGGCUUCUGUUAUUAGCUCGUCAGACACACAAACAUCAACAUCCAAUCAGAAAGAAGAGGGAAUCACCAUGAGGUCAGAGGAUGUCAUUAUACCAGAACUAUAUUUAUAGUGUGAUUCCACAGGGACAUACUAAAGGAUGCCUGCUGUAGAGAUACCUGGA
This 1580-nucleotide long non-coding RNA is filed under the name Salmo salar (Atlantic salmon). RNAcentral describes it as "lncRNA (ENSSSAG00000114735.1)". Lineage: Eukaryota; Metazoa; Chordata; Actinopteri; Salmoniformes; Salmonidae. The record is from RNAcentral.